Molecule: ribosomal RNA, 468 nt
Filed under: uncultured bacterium
Lineage: Bacteria
Description: partial 16S ribosomal RNA
Rfam family: Bacterial small subunit ribosomal RNA
Source: RNAcentral
GACGAACGCUGGCGGCGUGCCUAACACAUGCAAGUCGAACGGAAAGGCCCUGCUUUUGUGGGGUGCUCGAGUGGCGAACGGGUGAGUAACACGUGAGUAACCUGCCCUUGUCUUUGGGAUAACUUCAGGAAACUGGGGCUAAUACCGGAUAGGAGCUCCUGCUGCAUGGUGGGGGUUGGAAAGUUUCGGCGGUUGGGGAUGGACUCGCGGGUUCUCCGCUUGUUGGUGGAGUAGUGGCUUACAAAGGGUUUGACGGGUAGCCGGCCUGAGAGGGUAACCGGGCACAUUGGGACUGAGGUACGGCCCAGACGCCUACGGGAGGCAACGGGGGAAAAUAUUACACAGUGGGCGCAAGCCUGAUGCAACAACGCCGGGAGCGUGAUGACGUGCUUCUGGUUGAGAACCGCUGUGGCCUGAGACGAAGCGUGAGUGACGGUAACGAGUAAAGAAGCACCGGCUAACUACGUG